Molecule: ribosomal RNA, 281 nt
Filed under: Paenibacillus xylanilyticus
Lineage: Bacteria; Bacillati; Bacillota; Bacilli; Caryophanales; Paenibacillaceae
Description: partial 23S ribosomal RNA
Rfam family: Bacterial large subunit ribosomal RNA
Source: RNAcentral
AACAAUAGUGAUUCCGUCAGUAGCGGCGAGCGAACGCGGAGAAGCCCAAACCAGAGAGCUUGCUCUCUGGGGUUGUGGGACGUCUCACAUGGAGUUACAAAGGAACCGGUUAAACGAAGAGGUCUGGAAAGGCCCGCCAACGAAGGUAAAAGCCCUGUAAUUGAAAGUCUGUUCCCUCCGAGACGGAUCCCGAGUAGUGCGGGGCACGUGAAACCCCGUAUGAAUCCGGCAGGACCAUCUGCCAAGGCUAAAUACUUCCUAGCGACCGAUAGUGAAGCAGU